RNAcentral lists this ribosomal RNA (497 nucleotides) under uncultured bacterium. Its description in RNAcentral is "partial 16S ribosomal RNA". It matches the Rfam family "Bacterial small subunit ribosomal RNA", at positions 28 to 507 of the family's 1533-position model. The record is from RNAcentral.
GAUGAACGCUGGCGGCGUGCCUAAUACAUGCAAGUCGAGCGAACAGACGAGGAGCUUGCUCCGCUGACGUUAGCGGCGGACGGGUGAGUAACACGUGGAUAACCUACCUAUAAGACUGGGAUAACUUCGGGAAACCGGAGCUAAUACCGGAUAAUAUAUUGAACCGCAGGGUUCAAUAGUGAAAGACGGUUUUGCUGUCACUUAUAGACGGAUCCGCGCCGCAUUAGCUAGUUGGUAAGGUAACGGCUUACCAAGGCAACGAUGCGUAGCCGACCUGAGAGGGUGGUCGCCCACACUGGAACUGGGACACGGUCCAGACUCCUACGGGAGGCAGCAGUAGGGAAUCUUCCGCAAUGGGCGAAAGCUUGACGGAGCAACGCCGCGUGAGUGAUGAAGGUCUUCGGAUCGUAAAACUCUGUUAUUAGGGAAGAACAAAUGUGUGAGUAACUAUGCACGUCUUGACGGUACCUAAUCAGAAAGCCACGGCUAACUACGUG